UUUUUUUUUUUUUUUUUUUUGGAGACAGAGUCUCACUGUCGCCUGGGCUGGAGUGCAGUGGCACCAUCUCGGCUCACUGCAACCUCCUCCUCUAGAGUUCAAGCGAUUCUCCUGCCUCAGCCUCCUGAGUAGCUGGGAUUACAGGCGUGUGCCACUGCACCCGGCUAAUUUUUGUAUUUUUAGUAGAGAUGGGGUUUGACCAUGUUUGGCCAGGUUGGUCUUGAACUCCCAACCUCAGGUAAUCUACCCACCUCGGCCUCCCAAAGUGCUAGGAUUACAGGCAUGAGCCACUGUGCCUAGCCUUUUUAUUUUUAUUUUUUUGUAUUUUUAGUAGAGACGAGGUUUCACUAUGUUGGCCAGGCUGGUCUCAAACUCCUGACCUAGUGAUCUGCCCGCCUCGGCCUCCCAAAGUGUUUGGAUUGCAGGCAGGAGCCACCGCGCCCGGCCUUUUCCAUGUUUUAGAACCAAUAUAUGUAUAUGUACAUCUAUAUUUCUUUCCUUUUUGUUUUUUUCUUUUUGAGAUAGGGUCUCAGUGUCACCUAGGCUGGUGUGCAGUGGCACAAUCAUAGCUCACUGAAGGCUACAGGCAUACGGCAUCAUGUCUUACUAGAUUUUUGUAUUUUUUGUAGAGACGGGGGUCUCACUAUGUUGCCCAGGCUGGUCUCAACCCCAUGGGCUUAAGCAAUCUUCCUGCCACGGCCCCCCGAAGUGCUGGGAUUUCCGGCGUGAGCCACCAUGCUUGACCCUGUGUUUACUUAUUAGGUCCUCUAAACUUUGCUGCACAGUAGCGAUUGCCAUGACCCUACUCAUUUUUCACAUUCUUUGAGAAGAUGAAGGCAAGGUAUAUUUAGAAAACCUGCCUGAGAUCUUGAAGAUCACGAACAGCUGUCAGCUUCUGGAAGCCCAGCUCUUCACUGCUGCACUCAGUUGCCUAUCCUAGGAAGAAUAAGGAAGUGAGGGGCCAGGUGUGGUGGUUCACUCCUGUAAUCCCAGCACAUUGGGAAGCCGAGGCAG
Molecule: long non-coding RNA, 1014 nt
Filed under: Macaca fascicularis (crab-eating macaque)
Lineage: Eukaryota; Metazoa; Chordata; Mammalia; Primates; Cercopithecidae
Description: lncRNA (ENSMFAG00000061480.1)
Source: RNAcentral